UACGAAGGGGGCUAGCGUUGCUCGGAGUCACUGGGCGUAAAGCGCACGUAGGCGGAUUGCUAAGUCAGGGGUGAAAUCCUGGAGCUCAACUCCAGAACUGCCUUUGAUACUGGCGGCCUUGAGUCCGGGAGAGGUGAGUGGAACUGCGAGUGUAGAGGUGAAAUUCGUAGAUAUUCGCAAGAACACCAGUGGCGAAGGCGGCUCACUGGCCCGGUACUGACGCUGAGGUGCGAAAGCGUGGGGAGCAAACAGG
RNAcentral lists this ribosomal RNA (253 nucleotides) under uncultured bacterium. RNAcentral's name for it is "partial 16S ribosomal RNA". It matches the Rfam family "Bacterial small subunit ribosomal RNA", at positions 524 to 776 of the family's 1533-position model. The record is from RNAcentral.